AUACGGAGGGGGCUAGCGUUGUUCGGAAUUACUGGGCGUAAAGCUCGCGUAGGCGGAUUGAUCAGUCAGGGGUGAAAUCCCGAGGCUUAACCUCGGAACUGCCUUUGAUACUGUCAAUCUUGAGUUCGAGAGAGGUGAGUGGAAUUCCUAGUGUAGAGGUGAAAUUCGUAGAUAUUAGGAAGAACACCAGUGGCGAAGGCGGCUCACUGGCUCGAUACUGACGCUGAGGUGCGAAAGCGUGGGGAGCAAACAGGAUUAGAAACCCCAGUAGUCC
This 274-nucleotide ribosomal RNA is filed under the name uncultured bacterium. RNAcentral describes it as "partial 16S ribosomal RNA". It matches the Rfam family "Bacterial small subunit ribosomal RNA", at positions 523 to 796 of the family's 1533-position model. The record is from RNAcentral.